Molecule: ribosomal RNA, 255 nt
Filed under: uncultured bacterium
Lineage: Bacteria
Description: partial 16S ribosomal RNA
Rfam family: Bacterial small subunit ribosomal RNA
Source: RNAcentral
CACGGGGGGAGCAAGGCGUUGUUCGGAAUCACUGGGCGUAAAGGGCGUCUAGGCGGUCAAGUAAGUGGAAUGUGAAAGCCCCCCGGCUCACCCGGGGAUCUGCAUCCCAAACUGCUUGGCUUGAGUACGGGAGAGGAUAGGGGAAUUCCUGGUGUAGCGGUGAAAUGCGUAGAUAUCAGGAGGAACACCGGUGGCGAAGGCGCCUAUCUGGCCCGAUACUGACGCUGAAGCGCGAAAGCUAGGGGAGCAAACGGG